AGAGUUAUUCCGUUUAAGAAAAUAAGAAAUUUCAUGUUAGAUGCACUUUAAUAUAAGAACUUACAAUAGUGCGUUUCUUAUUCUAUUUUGACCUAAAUUUUUAACCAUAUUUUAUCACAAUUCGGAAAACGUACUUACCAAAAAGGCCUGGGACGAUGUUGUGAAGCUAUUUUUGGAAACGUCUAUUUACAUUUCUUCGCGCACAAGCAUGCAUUAUCAGAAAACGUGAUCAAGCCAGCGAUGUUUUUGACAACACCGACCUCGCACGUAUAUAAUUUAACCGUUUAUUAUAUUCAUUUUGAAAUCAAUGGUGUUUCCUGC
This is a non-coding RNA of Paramuricea clavata, 321 nucleotides long. NCBI's taxonomy places the organism in Eukaryota, Metazoa, Cnidaria, Anthozoa, Malacalcyonacea, Plexauridae. The record is from the annotation of a GenBank genome assembly.